CAGGAGGAUAGCCCGGGGAAACUCGGAUUAAUACUUCAUAGGAUCUUGUUUGGCAUCAGAUAAGAUUGAAAGAAAUUCGGAUAAGGAUAGGCAUGCGUCAGAUUAGCUAGUUGGUAGUGUAACGGACUACCAAGGCGAUGAUCUGUAGGGGGCCUGAGAGGGUGAUCCCCCACACUGGUACUGAGACACGGACCAGACUCCUACGGGAGGCAGCAGUGAGGAAUAUUGGACAAUGGAGGGAACUCUGAUCCAGCCAUCCCGCGUGCAGGAAGACGGCCUUAUGGGUUGUAAACUGCUUUUGUAUGGGGAUAAAUCUACUUACGUGUAGGUAGUUGAAGGUACCAUACGAAUAAGCAUCGGCUAACUCCGUGCCAGCAGCCGCGGUAAUACGGAGGAUGCAAGCGUUAUCCGGAUUCAUUGGGUUUAAAGGGUCCGUAGGCGGGCUAAUAAGUCAGUGGUGAAAUUUUGUCGCUUAACGAUAAAACUGCCAUUGAUACUGUUAGUCUUGAGUGAUAUUGAAGUAGCUGGAAUGUGUAGUGUAGCGGUGAAAUGCAUAGAUAUUACACAGAACACCGAUUGCGAAGGCAGGUUACUAAGUAUUAACUGACGCUGAAGGACGAAAGCGUGGGGAGCGAACAGGAUUAGAUACCCUGGUAGU
RNAcentral lists this ribosomal RNA (658 nucleotides) under Ornithobacterium rhinotracheale. Its description in RNAcentral is "bacterial SSU rRNA". It matches the Rfam family "Bacterial small subunit ribosomal RNA", at positions 136 to 794 of the family's 1533-position model. Lineage: Bacteria; Pseudomonadati; Bacteroidota; Flavobacteriia; Flavobacteriales; Weeksellaceae. The record is from RNAcentral.